GGGGAAUCUUCCGCAAUGGGCGAAAGCCUGACGGAGCAAUACCGCGUGAGGGAGGAUGGCUCUUGGGUUGUAAACCUCUUUUAUCAGGGAAGAACCAAAUGACGGUACCUGAAGAAUCAGCAUCGGCUAACUCCGUGCCAGCAGCCGCGGUAGUACGGAGGAUGCAAGCGUUAUCCGGAAUUAUUGGGCGUAAAGCGUCCGCAGGUGGCUCAUCAAGUCUGCUGUCAAAGGCAGGGGCUUAACCCCUGAAAGGCAGUGGAAACUGGAGAGCUAGAGUGCAGUAGGGAUAGAGGGAAUUCCCGGUGUAGCGGUGAAAUGCGUAGAGAUCGGGAAGAACACCGGUGGCGAAAGCGCUCUGCUGGACUGCAACUGACACUAAAGGACGAAAGCUAGGGGAGCGAAUGGGAUUAGAUACCCCAGUAGUC
RNAcentral lists this ribosomal RNA (425 nucleotides) under uncultured cyanobacterium. RNAcentral's name for it is "bacterial SSU rRNA". It matches the Rfam family "Bacterial small subunit ribosomal RNA", at positions 356 to 795 of the family's 1533-position model. Lineage: Bacteria; Bacillati; Cyanobacteriota. The record is from RNAcentral.